RNAcentral lists this ribosomal RNA (554 nucleotides) under uncultured beta proteobacterium. Its description in RNAcentral is "bacterial SSU rRNA". It matches the Rfam family "Bacterial small subunit ribosomal RNA", at positions 493 to 1045 of the family's 1533-position model. Lineage: Bacteria; Pseudomonadati; Pseudomonadota; Betaproteobacteria. The record is from RNAcentral.
CCGGCUAACUACGUGCCAGCAGCCGCGGUAAUACGUAGGGUGCAAGCGUUAAUCGGAAUUACUGGGCGUAAAGCGUGCGCAGGCGGUUCGCUAAGACAGAUGUGAAAUCCCCGGGCUUAACCUGGGAACUGCAUUUGUGACUGGCGGGCUAGAGUAUGGCAGAGGGGGGUAGAAUUCCACGUGUAGCAGUGAAAUGCGUAGAGAUGUGGAGGAAUACCGAUGGCGAAGGCAGCCCCCUGGGCCAAUACUGACGCUCAUGCACGAAAGCGUGGGGAGCAAACAGGAUUAGAUACCCUGGUAGUCCACGCCCUAAACGAUGUCAACUAGUUGUCGGGUCUUCAUUGACUUGGUAACGUAGCUAACGCGUGAAGUUGACCGCCUGGGGAGUACGGUCGCAAGAUUAAAACUCAAAGGAAUUGACGGGGACCCGCACAAGCGGUGGAUGAUGUGGAUUAAUUCGAUGCAACGCGAAAAACCUUACCUACCCUUGACAUGUAUGGAAUCCUGCUGAGAGGUGGGAGUGCCCGAAAGGGAGCCAUAACACAGGUGCUGCA